UUCUACCUGGUGUCAAAGAUCCUUAAUAUACAAAGAUAAAGCAGGUCAGGCUUCUACAAUGGAAUGGAAUUGUACACAGUUCCUGCCUCCUAAAAGGGUGUGGUCAGAAUGCGCUGACGCGACAUUGUUGAUGGAAUGCCUCAAAGAUUCUUCAUUUUCGCGCCUUUCUCUUGACUGGAGCUAACCUGGGUGACUGAAUAUUGGAGAAAUGCGGUCUGAUUUCGAGUUGCUGCACAAGUAGAAGGACGCUACGGAUGGUGAGGAUGAACCCGCGCUGACAGGGAGGAAUGAAGUUGGGCCUGUGAUAUUCAGAGUAUAAGUCAAUACUAUAUUACAAUGCAUACAUUGUGUUCUGUAACUGUCACUGUGAAAGUCAAACUUUCCUCUGUAUGAAAAAAACCUAACACACUGAGAAGGAUUGCUACACAUUCUGUUCUCUAACAACCUGAAGGUCCAAGACUCAAUCCACUGAAGGCUCUCCAUAAGAUGUUGGAUCUGGUAUGUGCUUCGUGGUCCUAUAGGACGACGCCAUGGGCAGGGGUCAGAGAUGCGCCUGAGAAGUACUGUGCAUGCUGGUCAUAUCACUUCAAUCGUCAGACAACAAAGGGAUGAAGAGAUUCUACUCUCCCGCAUGCACACUAAUCUAUUGAUGAUGUUAGUUAAUUUAAAGACAAGUGCAGUAUUUAGUUUUGUAAAUGCUUAACUGUAAUCUAUGUAUAGGGUCAACACCUACCCAUAUUU
Molecule: long non-coding RNA, 741 nt
Organism: Alosa sapidissima (American shad)
Lineage: Eukaryota; Metazoa; Chordata; Actinopteri; Clupeiformes; Clupeidae
Exons: 3
Source: RefSeq, a predicted model, not a curated record